AGCAAAGCGCUUUAUUCUUCUUAUACUACACAACAAUUUCCCAAUGCAGAUGGAUGUUAAAGAAAGAAUGACACAUUGUACUUAAUGUUAUGGAACAUCCAUAAAAAACUGAGCUCCUAUUACUCAUGUAAUCGCAGCUAUAAAACAUCCCUCACAGAAUAACUAAUAUUUCUGUUUUCCCCCCAUGAGGAAGUGCAUUCAAAUAAUUACAUGAACAAAUGAAUUAAUGGGUCAAAGAGUGAAUAACUGAAAGAAAGAACGAGUAGAAAAAAGGAAGUCUGUUUCCAUGGAGAUCCACACUGCGUUUGUGUAGGCUUUUGGGUCAUUUCAGUUGGAACCCCACACUUACUGCCUCACUCUCUCCAUCAGAAACGGGCUGAGACUCGGAGCGAUGGUGGAUUGCCGAAUAAACCCAGCUCCUGUCUUCUGGGGGCUGCGGUUACACCACCAACACAACAGCAGGGGGCGUCACAGAGCAUCACUAUGCCUCUGAUUUCCCUGGCGAGUUUGUGGACUCUGAAGCAGGAGCUGAGCAAAAACAGAGGUAUGAGAACAUUCAGAAGUUCAGCGAGGAGGCCAGGUGGUUGGAGCAGUCAGAGGCACUGCAGCAGGCCAGGAGGAAAUAUCUGGGCCAUAUCAGCUCACAAUGUGUCCAAAAGCAGUGAGAUACUGGGCAAGACCAGCACUUCAAGGAUCACUUCAGAGGUCA
This is a long non-coding RNA of Ictalurus punctatus (channel catfish), 709 nucleotides long. NCBI's taxonomy places the organism in Eukaryota, Metazoa, Chordata, Actinopteri, Siluriformes, Ictaluridae. The record is from Ensembl.